GAUGAACGCUGGCGGCGUGCCUAAUACAUGCAAGUCGAGCGAACGGACGAGAAGCUUGCUUCUCUGCUGUUAGCGGCGGACGGGUGAGUAACACGUGGAUAACCUACCUAUAAGACUGGGAUAACUUCGGGAAACCGGAGCUAAUACCGGAUAAUAUUUUGAACCGCAUGGUUCAACAGUGAAAGACGGUCUUGCUGUCACUUAUAGAUGGAUCCGCGCUGCAUUAGCUAGUUGGUAAGGUAACGGCUUACCAAGGCAACGAUGCAUAGCCGACCUGAGAGGAUGAUCGGCCACACUGGAACUGCGACACGGUCCAGACUCCUACGGGAGGCAGCAGUAGGGAAUCUUGCGCAAUGGGCGAAAGCCUGACGCAGCAACGCCGCGUGAGUGAUGAAGGUCUUCGGAUCGUAAAACUCUGUAAUUAGGGAAGAACAUAUGUGUAAGUAACUGUGCACAUCUUGACGUUACCUAAUCAGAAAGCCACGGCUAACUACGUG
RNAcentral lists this ribosomal RNA (497 nucleotides) under uncultured bacterium. RNAcentral describes it as "partial 16S ribosomal RNA". It matches the Rfam family "Bacterial small subunit ribosomal RNA", at positions 28 to 507 of the family's 1533-position model. The record is from RNAcentral.